Molecule: ribosomal RNA, 453 nt
Filed under: uncultured Porphyromonadaceae bacterium
Lineage: Bacteria; Pseudomonadati; Bacteroidota; Bacteroidia; Bacteroidales; Porphyromonadaceae
Description: partial 16S ribosomal RNA
Rfam family: Bacterial small subunit ribosomal RNA
Source: RNAcentral
ACGGAAGGCAGCAGUGAGGAAUAUUGGUCAAUGGGCGGAAGCCUGAACCAGCCAAGUCGCGUGAAGGAAGACGGUAUUAUGUAUUGUAAACUUCUUUAGCAGUAGAGCAAUAAGCGCCACGCGUGGCGUGAUGAGAGUAUACUGAGAAUAAGCAUCGGCUAACUCCGUGCCAGCAGCCGCGGUAAUACGGAGGAUGCGAGCGUUAUCCGGAUUUAUUGGGUUUAAAGGGUGCGCAGGCGGUCAGUUAAGUCAGUGGUCAAAUCGUGAGGCUCAACCUCAUCCCGCCAUUGAUACUGGUUGACUUGAUUGCGGUCGAGGUAGGCGGAAUUCGUCGUGUAGCGGUGAAGUGCAUAGAUAUGACGAAGAACACCGAUUGCGUAGGCAGCUUACCAGACCGUUAAUGACGCUCAUGCACGAAAGUGCGGGGAUCGAACAGGAUUAGAUACCCUGGUA